This 1189-nucleotide long non-coding RNA is filed under the name Micromonas commoda. RNAcentral's name for it is "long non-coding RNA (MCOM_LNC000082)". The record is from RNAcentral. Lineage: Eukaryota; Viridiplantae; Chlorophyta; Mamiellophyceae; Mamiellales; Mamiellaceae.
GUUUCCCUGCCAACGCAGUACAAUAGUUUGAAUCAGGAUCCCGUGGGUGCACUGUCAUCUACUUUUGCCCGGCUACAGUCCUCUAAGCCACUUCGCGAGCUGCGUGAAUCUGCAAAAGCUAUCACGAAACAAAUGCCGGUUCCUGUACAAGAAGUGACGGCAAAGGUCGAUGAGUAUGCUCGUGGCAUGAUAAGUGGAUCUGGAUCAACGCUAUUCGAAGAGUUGGGUCUAUACUACAUUGGAACAGUUGACGGGCAUAAUCUUCAAGACCUCGUGGCCAUUUUAGAAGAAGUGAAGUCGACGCGAAGCGUGGGCCCGGUCCUCAUACAUAUUGUCACAGAGAAGGGUAGAGGGUACUCAUACGCAGAGGCUGCUCAAGAUAAGUACCAUGGAGUAUCUACAUUUGAUGUGGCUUCAGGAAAACAGAAGAAAUCUGCGAGCGGCAUUCCGACAUACACACAAUUUUUUGCCGAUGCUCUCGUAGGUGAAGCUGGUCUUGAUGAGAACGUCGUGGCUGUCCAUGCCGCCAUGGGUGGGGGAACAGGUCUCAAUCACUUUGAAAAGUUUUUUGCAGACCGCACAUUUGAUGUUGGCAUUGCGGAGCAGCACGCCGUAACUUUCUCUGCAGGGCUCGCAGUCGAAGGGCUAAAGCCGGUUUGUGCAGUCUAUUCAACGUUUUUGCAAAGAGGGUUUGAUCAGGUCGUACACGAUGUUGCUUUGCAAAAGUUACCUGUGCGUUUUGCCAUGGAUCGUGCUGGUCUUGUCGGUGAGGAUGGGCCCACUCACGCCGGUGCGUAUGAUGUAACAUUCAUGGCAUGUCUGCCUGAUAUGGUUGUGAUGGCUCCAAUGAAUGAAGCAGAGCUCUGCCACAUGGUUGCGACCUCAAUUUCUGUUGAUGAUCGACCUUCAUGCUUUAGGUAUCCACGCGGCACAGGCGUAGGCCUCGACUUGAUCGGAGAGGGGGUUGAAAUGUUACGGCCAGGAUACAAAGGUGGCAUACUGGAAAUUGGAAAGGGAAGGAUCAUACGGGAAGGAAUAGACGUCUGCUUGCUCGGCUACGGGACCUGCACCAAUCGUUGCAUAGAAGCCGCGGAGGUACUUCGAGAAUUUGGUAUUAGUGUCACUGUGGCCGAUGCUCGCUUUUGCAAGCCAUUGGACACUAAAAUGAUCCGCCAGCUUGCAAAAAGUC